This 657-nucleotide ribosomal RNA is filed under the name uncultured bacterium. RNAcentral's name for it is "bacterial SSU rRNA". It matches the Rfam family "Bacterial small subunit ribosomal RNA", at positions 163 to 821 of the family's 1533-position model. The record is from RNAcentral.
CUAAUACCGCAUACGUCCUACGGGAGAAAGCAGGGGAUCUUCGGACCUUGCGCUAAUAGAUGAGCCUAAGUCGGAUUAGCUAGUUGGUGGGGUAAAGGCCUACCAAGGCGACGAUCUGUAGCGGGUCUGAAGGAUGAUCCGCCACACUGGGACUGAGACACGGCCCAGACUCCUACGGGAGGCAGCAGUGGGGAAUAUUGGACAAUGGGGGGAACCCUGAUCCAGCCAUGCCGCGUGUGUGAAGAAGGCCUUAUGGUUGUAAAGCACUUUAAGCGAGGAGGAGGCUACUGAGACUAAUACUCUUGGAUAGUGGACGUUACUCGCAGAAUAAGCACCGGCUAACUCUGUGCCAGCAGCCGCGGUAAUACAGAGGGUGCGAGCGUUAAUCGGAUUUACUGGGCGUAAAGCGUGCGUACGCGGCUUUUUAAGUCGGAUGUGAAAUCCCCGAGCUUAACUUGGGAAUUGCAUUCGAUACUGGGAAGCUAGAGUAUGGGAGAGGAUGGUAGAAUUCCAGUGUAGCGGUGAAAUGCGUAGAGAUCUGGAGGAAUACCGAUGGCGAAGCAGCCAUCUGGCCUAAUACUGACGCUGAGUACGAAGCAUGGGGAGCAAACAGAUUAGAUACCCUGGUAGUCCAUGCCGUAACGAUGUCUACUAGCC